UUUAUUGGAGAGUUUGAUCCUGGCUCAGGAUGAACGCUGGCGGCGUGCCUAAUACAUGCAAGUCGAGCGAAUGGAUUGAGAGCUUGCUCUCAAGAAGUUAGCGGCGGACGGGUGAGUAACACGUGGGUAAC
This 131-nucleotide ribosomal RNA is filed under the name Bacillus cereus. RNAcentral's name for it is "partial 16S ribosomal RNA". It matches the Rfam family "Bacterial small subunit ribosomal RNA", at positions 1 to 125 of the family's 1533-position model. The record is from RNAcentral. Lineage: Bacteria; Bacillati; Bacillota; Bacilli; Caryophanales; Bacillaceae.